UAUAUAUAUAUAUACACUAGAAUAUCGAAGUCAGGGAAAGAGACUAACUUGAAAAAAGAAAAAGAAAGAUGUAACAAUAGGAUCGUUUAUUGUAGUACUGUUGUAGGGGGGACGGAUUUAGAGGGUGCACCACACACACGGAGCGGCCCGGAUAACUGUAUUACAGCAGAGUAUUGGUGACUGCAUACCAAUAAAGUUCAAGUAACUUUUUUAACUUAUAUAACUUAUUUAUAAUGCAAUGUUUGAGUCAUUCAACGUACAAAGCUUCUCUUAGUAACAAUAAAAUAAAAUGGACCUCUCUUCAGACAAAUCAUCUUGUUAAAGGCAAAGUACAUUCAGCUCGCAUACAAUAAUUUCGGAACCUACGCCAGGAUCCUGUUUGUGGGCUUCAGCUCUGCCUUCAACACCAUCAUCCCGUCUCUGCUGCAGGAUAAACUCUCCCAGCUGCACGUGCCCGACUCACAGACUUCCUGUCUGACAGGAAACGGCACGUGAAGCUGGGGAAACAUGUCUCAGCCUUUCGGACCAUCAGCACCGGUUCCCCCCAAGGCUGCGUUCUAUCCCCUCUGCUCUUCUCCCUGUACACCAACAGCUGCACCUCCAGUCACCAGUCCGUCAAGCUCCUGAAGUUUGGGGAUGACACCAACCUCAUUGGACUGAUCUCUGGUGGGGAUGAGUCCGCCUACAGCCAGAACAACCUGGAGCUCAACGCUCUAAAGACAGUGGAGAUGGUUGUGGAUUUCGGGCGGAACAGAGCUCCACCUUCCCCCAUUACUCUGUGUGACUCCCCCGUCACUAUUGUGGACUCUUCUGUUUCCUGGGCUCCAUCAUCACCCAGGACCUCAAGUGGGAGCUGAACAUCAGCUCCAUCACAAAGAAGGCUCAGCAGAGGUUGUUCUUCCUGAGGCCUCUGAAGCAAGCCAAAAAGAUCGUAGCCGACCCCUCUCACCCCGGACACAAACUGUUUGUGCCCCUUCCAUCUGACAGGAGGUUGAGGUCCAUCAGGACUAACACCUCCCGCCACACGAACAGUUUCUUCCCGUCGGCAGUCGGGCUCAUCAACAAAGCCCGGUCCCCCAAUGACUGACUAUAACAUUCACUCUGCUUCAUACUGCACGUCACUUUAACUGUCAUUUUUCACUUUGUCGUCACUUGUCACUUUGUUACUUGUUCGCUAGUGCACUUUAUGCUUAAUACUUUUUUAAUAUUUUAAAUUUUUAACUCUAACUUUAUUCUCUUGUUUUAUACUAAUCCAUAGCCUUAUUCUACUAACCCAUUGCAUUAGCAUUUCAUUUUACCUUAUUUUAUUACUUGUGCACUGCUGCCUUGUUGUCUAUUGUUACACUGUCUACUGUCACGCACCAACCGCCAAGACAAAUUCCUUGUAUGUUUGACAUACAGUAUUUUGGCAAUAAAUGUUUC
Molecule: long non-coding RNA, 1422 nt
Organism: Gasterosteus aculeatus aculeatus (three-spined stickleback)
Lineage: Eukaryota; Metazoa; Chordata; Actinopteri; Perciformes; Gasterosteidae
Source: Ensembl